This 159-nucleotide microRNA precursor is filed under the name Phlebotomus papatasi. RNAcentral describes it as "microRNA mir-286". Lineage: Eukaryota; Metazoa; Arthropoda; Insecta; Diptera; Psychodidae. The record is from RNAcentral.
UUGAAGUCAAAAUGGGAAAUUCGGUUUAGUCUUUUGUUCUUCAAUUUGACUUUAUUUUGCCAACGUUUAGAUCCUGGAUGGGAUCUUCUUCAAGACCUCAAAUAUAGUCAAAUUGAAGAACAAAGGAUUAGACCGAAUUUCCCACUUUGACUUGAGUUA